Parus major (Great Tit) is the source of this 449-nucleotide long non-coding RNA. RefSeq lists it as uncharacterized. Lineage: Eukaryota; Metazoa; Chordata; Aves; Passeriformes; Paridae. The transcript has 2 exons. The record is from RefSeq and is a predicted model, not a curated record.
CGCCGCGGCCUCCCUCAGUCUCGCACCGCUGAGCACUCGCUGCCUCCUUCCUCUUCCUCAUCCUCGUUGUCGCCUCCCUGGUGGCCGCAGAGGGGCGGGGGGCUGCGUGGCCAGAGGGGGAGGGGCGGCCUGGCCCCCGCCGCGCGGGGAAAGGCGGUAGGGGAGGGUGGAAAAACCACAAAAAAAAAGUGUUUUUGAGGCCCCAGAGCUGUCCCGGCCCUGGAGGGACCCGCGAGGGCCCCCCCGGGCUGGGAGAGGCUGGGGCAGGAGCCGUGUUGGGGAGGGGGGGCGCCCGAGGGGAGAACAACAAUUAGGCAAAGAUAUCGAAGGAUUGAAGGCUGUUAUCCCCUUAUGUAACCCUGGAUACUCCGCAAAACUAAUCGAGGCCUUUCUAAUACGGAUUAUUCAUCACAAGUUUCAAGCUCAUUAAACAACAACAACAAAAAUUU